GUCGAACGCUGGCGGCAUGCCUUACACAUGCAAGUCGAACGGCAGCACGGGAGCAAUCCUGGUGGCGAGUGGCGAACGGGUGAGUAAUAUAUCGGAACGUGCCCAGUCGUGGGGGAUAACGCAGCGAAAGCUGUGCUAAUACCGCAUACGAUCUAUGGAUGAAAGCGGGGGAUCGCAAGACCUCGCGCGAUUGGAGCGGCCGAUAUCAGAUUAGCUAGUUGGUGAGGUAAAGGCUCACCAAGGCGACGAUCUGUAGCUGGUCUGAGAGGACGACCAGCCAGACUGGAACGGAGACACGGUCCAGACUCCGACGGGAGGCAGCAGUGAGGAAUUUUGGACAAUGGGAGAAAGCCUGAUCCAGCAAUGCCGCGUGCAGGAUGAAGGCCUUCGGGUUGUAAACUGCUUUUGUACGGAACGAAACGGUGAGCUCUAAUACAGUUUGCUAAUGACGGUACCGUAAGAAUAAGCACCGGCUAACUACGUGCCAGCCGCCGCCGUAA
Molecule: ribosomal RNA, 500 nt
Filed under: uncultured bacterium
Lineage: Bacteria
Description: partial 16S ribosomal RNA
Rfam family: Bacterial small subunit ribosomal RNA
Source: RNAcentral